This is a long non-coding RNA of Esox lucius (northern pike), 4174 nucleotides long. Lineage: Eukaryota; Metazoa; Chordata; Actinopteri; Esociformes; Esocidae. The record is from Ensembl.
CCCCAGGUCAUUGUGGGCUCUCUCACCAAGCUGUAAGGUAUAGUCCCCAGGUCGAUGUGGGCUCUCUCACCAAGCUGUAAGGUAUAGUCCCCAGGUCGAUGUGGGCUCUCUCACCAAGCUGUAAGGUAUAGUCCCCAGGUCUUUGUGGGCUCUCUCACCAAGCUGUAAGGUAUAGUGCCCAGGACAUUGUGUGCUCUGUGGGCUUGUCUCAAGCUGUCUGCAGGAUUGCCUGCAGAGAAUAAUAGGCCCUAAACACCAGGUUGUUAAGUAGGUGGGUGAGUCGUCUGGGGAAGUGGGAACUGACGCAGCCUGUGGCUCUCCUUGAUUUAAAAUUAGAUUAAUAAUAAUAUUAACUUUAUUUGUAUAGCACAUUUUUAGUACAAAUACUCAGUGAUUUACACACAAUAAAAAUACAUAAAAAUAAUAAUAAUAAAAAUAAUAAAAACUUACAUAUUUUUUUUAAGUAAAGGAAGUAAAAGGAAUAAACAAAAUAUAAAAUCACAAUGAUAAAAUAUUAAUAGAAGCCAUGUUAUAAAAAUGCAUUUUUAGGUAAGAUUUAAAGAAUGCAAUUAUAUAGCAUCUCCAACAUUCUGUGGUAGGCUGUUCCAGAGUCUAGGGCCCAUAUAGCAAAGGCCCAGUUCCCUUAGUUUUCAGUCAAGACUCCGGGACCGCCAUAAGCAUUACAGUAGUCAAGGCGAGAUUAAAUAAAAGCCUGUAUAAUUUUCUCAGUGUCCUUAAAAGAUAAAAUCAAUCUUAUUUUGGCAAUGUUUCUAAGUUGGUAAAAGCAUGACUGCACCAGUUUUUUUGUGUUAUAUUCAAAGUGUUAGUCCCAGAUUUCCCAGAUUUCUGGCCACAGGCACAAUAUUUUUUGCUAGUGAUCCUAGAGUCAACCGAACUUUAUAGAUGGGGGGUCAAUAAUUAAAACUUCGGUUUUAUCAGUGUUUAACUGAAGAAAAUAAAUGGACAUCCAGUAUGUAAUUACUUCCCAGAAAUUAUGCAGAACACACAACUUGCUCAGGUGAUUUGGCUUAACUGACAAAUACCACUGCAUAUCAUCUGCAUUACAAUGAAAAGACAUGUCAUGCUGCUAAAUUAUACUACCUAAUGGAUGCACAAACAGAGAAAACAGGAUUGGUCCCAGGAUGCAACCCUGUGGAACACCACAUAUGACAGGAACAGAGGAAGACAUAUAAUUGUUAAUGGACACUACAAAUGCUCUAUUUGACAGAUACAACUUGACCCAAUCUAAUGCAAUCCCUGAGAUCCCAACACAUCUUCUGUCAAAUAAAAGUCUGUGAAAUAAAAUGUUGUGGUCUACAGUAAAGUGUUGAAACCUGCACAAAGAUCCAGUAACAAUAAGAUUGAACAUUCUCCAGAGUCAGCAUUCAACUAGUUAUUUGUAACCUUAGCAAGAGCAGUUUCAGUACUUUGUCUCUGUCAAAAGCCUGAAUGGAAUUUCUCAAAAAUAAAACUGUGUUCCACCACCUGUAAACGUUGCUUUGCAAAAAUGUUCUCUAAAAUGUUCAUUAAGAAGGGUAGCUUGGAAAUUGACCUGUAGUUAUUAAAAACAGAGGUGUCAAGAUAAGUUUCUUAAGAAGAGGCUAAACACAUGCUGACUUAAAUUAGUCAGGGACACAACCUGUGUGGAGAGAGCUGUUUAUAAUGGAGAGUAAUUCAGGGUCUAUUGUUCCGAUCAUUUCUUUAAUCAGUCUGGGUGGUAUAAUGUCUAGAGGGUAAAAGGAGGGUUUUAAAUUAGAUGUCAUACCUAAAAGGUUUUCUUAAACAAUUGGAGUAAACGUGUUAAAUUUACAUUUAAGUUCACCUAAUCAUAAUGUUUUCGGUACACAUAUUACCGUGUUGUAACAUCACAUGAUACAGUGUUGUCACAGGCAGAUAACACAGUCUACAGAUGAGCGAGUAUUAAAGGUAAUCUAAAAUGUCAUCCAGAGGCAGAGAUAAGGGUCUAGACAAGAUAGGACAAUGGAUAACCUGUAGUUCCCUGGAAGAGAUUUAUUUAAUUGGUUCAGAAACAGAUAGUACAAUGAUCUUAUACAAUGAGCCUUGUCCUGCUAUUGCAGGAGACACCUACAGUCACACUAGAAUAACACAGACUAGUGGAGUUUAGAGUAGAGAAUCCGGAGUAAAGUGAGUUAUGGUUACAGCAAGUAAAGGGUUAGCAGUUCUCUCCUCGGGUCUGUUCAGUAUCGGAAAAAGGCUACACCCUUAACCAAGAGCAAAUCAUUCUGACCGUUUUAUAAAGAAACAAUGCUGUCUUGCUAGAAAAGGUUUGUCAAAACAUCCUGUGUUGAAGGCCUGCAUCGGAGAGACAGAUAGUCCUGUAAACACAGGUAACUAGUGCCACUGUAGUUUUGCAAGGUCUUUUUGGUUGUAAAUGCCAACACUAAUGGAAAGUAGUCCAGAUGACACCACCCCAGGUCAUUUGUAUCUAGAGCUUCGUGUCUUUCCACAAUCUUUUUGUCUUAGGUGAUAAUCUCCCUCAACCUGUUCCACGUUCUCACCCUUUCACGUACAUCACCCGCUGAGUUUCAGUUGUUGGAGAAUGUUUUGAACCUAAGGCAACACUCUUGGAUCUACACUGCGUAACCUGUAACCAAUGACACCACAUGCAUUGGGAAAAAGAGAGAAGAGAAGAGAGAGAGGAGAGGACAGGGUAGAGAGGAGAGAAGAGAGGGCUGGGGGGGGCAGAGAGGAGAGUGAGGGCAGGCAACCACAUGAGGAGAAGUGCCUACAGUGCAGGAGAAAUGAGGAGAAAGGCCUACAGGGCAGGAGAAAUUAGGAGAAAAACCUACAGGGCAGGAGAAAUGAGGGGAAAUGCCUACAGGGCAGCUGCGGACUCAGUCAAUGUCUGAGUAUUUGCAAAUGUACUUGGCAAAUGAAGUGAUUCAGAUUCUGAUUCUGUACUGCUGGGAAAGCAGAAAAUUUUAUUUUCCUCCUGACUCCCCCUCCCUUUCUCUUCCUGUCGUUUCAGCAAAACAACAUUUCUGGGAAAAGGAAGUGUCCCUUCCUCCCUUUGGGUCAGUGCAACACCAUGUCAGUGUGUCUGAUCUGAUUCAGCCUGGUCAUUUUCAGACACCAACACCACUGAUCUGACUGAGUCACCCACCCAUUCUGUUUCUCCCCAGCUCUUUCUUUCUCUCAUCUCUCUCUAGUUUUUCUAUCAUUAUAUGACUCUUACAGAGAUGUUCUGCCUGCAUGUGUACAGAAUUUAAAUAUAAAGGAAGAAAGAAAACCUUGAAAGAUCUUGAGGUUGAGAGGGUGGAGGGCACACACAACAUUGUCCUGAGUUGUGCUCUUAGGGAAAGUGAAAGAGCGGUCUCUCUCUCUCUCUCUCUCUCUCUCUCUCGCUCCUAGACCGAGACAUGAGUCAUAGCAUUCUUGUCUUUCUUCCCCAGGAGGCUCGUCUGUUCGGGCUAUAAAUGGAAGCAGUAGAGACACUGUAGGCUUCCCUCAUCGCCCACCCAGGGACUGAGUUAUGCCGUAUUACAGUGUAAUGGCUUCUGACUGGGCUGGGCCUUAAUGAAGACAAAUGGCAGCCAGGGCUACUGGGGCAUUGUGGGAUACGACGGCUAUAUUUCUCUUUCUCCUCCAUUUUGAUUUCUCAAUCAACAUUGCAAAUAGAGAUAAAGCAUCUUAUGUAACUGAGAAUUAAAUACAGAUAAAUAUAAAAAUGUUAUUAAGUAUAAAUGAUACUAGCUAAUUUUGUAUAUUUUUUCCUCAUUAACUGUGUUUGUCGGCACAAUAGAACUAUGAGUGAUGCUUUCACAAGAAUUUCACAUUCAAAACAAUCGUCUUCAAUCCCUGAGGAACAUGAGGUACAUAUUCCUAAAACCUGGAUGGCUGUCAGAACUAAUGCAGCAAUAUGUUAUAAAGGUCAAGUGCUGUUUGGUCCACAUCUGAAAAUCUAUCCGUAUAGAAAUGAUACUGACUGACAUUUAUUAGUUGGCUAGUCUCCCUCCCCCUGCAGUGUCUAUCAAUAAUGUCUGCUACAUCCCAGGGACAGACUGCUCCUGAUCUGAAAAUGGCUCAGAUAAAUAAAUAAUGUAAUUUCUAAUAAUGUCUUUCUAAAUCAUAUACUUAUCAAAUAACUGUGACCCAUUAAGUACACAUAUGAUCUGCUACAGUGGAUAUAAAAAGUAUACACACCCCUGUUAAA